AUUUAUAGCACGAGCCCAAUAAAUCAUGCGUGCUGCACGUCGAUACGCCGAUGUGGACGUGAUAUUAUCAUCAUCUCUAGACUUUGCAGCUCCUAUGUGGCUCGAGCUGACUUAUCGUGACGUCACCCACUGUAUCUGACUGUAUGCAGCCCUUCAUGGAGCGCGUGGCUGCGAGCACAUGGAAAGGAGGUCGAGAUUUGUGCUUGAAAGACACGCACCUAUUCAUCCGAAAUGGAAUAUAAAUAAUAAUGCGCAAAAUAGAAAUAGAAUCAGAGAACGGGAAGACUGUUGAGACUGCUCUGCUCUACUCAGCUGUCAAUCAACGAGGAUCAGCAGAUUUAUAAUGAAAAUCAAGACACCUGGAUGGAAGUUAUGAAAAGGUACCGCUCGUCAGGGACACACGUGCCAUCGUUCUGACACUGACUGGGGUCAGGGCAACGCAAACAGAGAACACAGCACCAAACCACACAGGGUUAAAGACCAGCAAAUAUUUAUCCAAGACCUUUUCACUGAUGGCAACUGUUUUAUGGCCAAUGAGACAAGGGAGCAGUGAAGGAUGCGUGGCACCUUGAUUGUAACACUACAUUCAUCUAAAUAUUGACUGGCCUUCAUGAAGAUAACCAGUCAAGAAGAAACUUCAAACUGUGACCAGUGCCUGCCACCUGGUUCAGGUUAUCUAUCAGUCAACCUACCAGGGUAUUCACAAACAGCACAGGAACAGCACAGUAUUGAUGACACCUUCACUAAGGCAGUACCCAAAUCCAUCUGAUUUAGUGAUCAUAAAAUAGUAGCCAUAUCAAGGAAAAGUUCC
Long non-coding RNA from Oncorhynchus tshawytscha (Chinook salmon), 811 nucleotides. The record is from Ensembl. Lineage: Eukaryota; Metazoa; Chordata; Actinopteri; Salmoniformes; Salmonidae.